Molecule: long non-coding RNA, 440 nt
Filed under: Mytilus galloprovincialis (Mediterranean mussel)
Lineage: Eukaryota; Metazoa; Mollusca; Bivalvia; Mytilida; Mytilidae
Source: RNAcentral
AAGGUUUAGUCGAAGAUUGAAAAUAGAAGAAACAAGUGUUAAAAACUACGAUCGUUAUGAAAUGUUGUUCAAUUUAAAAGUUGCUGUAUUACAGUUGACUUUGUGCACAUGGAGGUGUCCAUGGGUCAUCCGUCAACAAUUUACAAUUUCACCAAAACAUGUUAAACAUGUUGCAUAUAUCCCGAAGAGAUUGUACUGUUGGAUGUAGUUUUAAUUAUAUAUGUAUAUACAUGCGCAUGAAGGUAACUAGAAAAAAAAACACACAAUGUAUGUCAGCUGUUCAAUAUAUGAAUCCAACAAGGUCUUGUCAACUGUCUGAUUUUGCCCCAUGAGAAUGAAACAAAUACGCAGGAUACUGAUUAUAUAUUUUAUUACUCUAUUGUUGACAUAUUUCUUGCAGAGGUACAUAAGCUUACGAAAAAAACAUUAGUGAUAACGCG